Molecule: ribosomal RNA, 973 nt
Filed under: Francisella endosymbiont of Dermacentor andersoni
Lineage: Bacteria; Pseudomonadati; Pseudomonadota; Gammaproteobacteria; Thiotrichales; Francisellaceae
Description: bacterial SSU rRNA
Rfam family: Bacterial small subunit ribosomal RNA
Source: RNAcentral
AAGGUGGCUUUUGGGCUGUCGCAGAUGGAUGAGCCUGCGUUGGAUUAGCUAGUUGGUGGGGUAAGGGCCUACCAAGGCUACGAUCCAUAGCUGAUUUGAGAGGAUGAUCAGCCACAUUGGGACUGAGACACGGCCCAAACUCCUACGGGAGGCAGCAGUGAGGAAUAUUGGACAAUGGGGGCAACCCUGAUCCAGCAAUGCCAUGUGUGUGAAGAAGGCCUUAGGGUUGUAAAGCACUUUAGUUGGGGAAGAAAGCUUUGAGGUUAAUAGCCUUGAGGAAAAGGACGUUACCCAAAGAAUAAGCACCGGCUAACUCCGUGCCAGCAGCCGCGGUAAUACGGGGGGUGCAAGCGUUAAUCGGAAUUACUGGGCGUAAAGGGUCUGUAGGUGGUUUGUUAAGUCAGAUGUGAAAGCCUAGGGCUCAACCUUGGAACUGCAUUUGAUACUGGUAAACUAGAGUACGGUAGAGGAAUGGGGAAUUUCUGGUGUAGCGGUGAAAUGCGUAGAGAUCAGAAGGAACACCAAUGGCGAAGGCAACAUUCUGGACCGAUACUGACACUGAGGGACGAAAGCGUGGGGAUCAAACAGGAUUAGAUACCCUGGUAGUCCACGCUGUAAACGAUGAGUACUAGCUGUUGGAGUCGGUGUAAAGGCUCUAGUGGCGCAGCUAACGCGAUAAGUACUCCGCCUGGGGACUACGGCCGCAAGGCUAAAACUCAAAGGAAUUGACGGGGACCCGCACAAGCGGUGGAGCAUGUAGUUUAAUUCGAUGCAACGCGAAGAACCUUACCUGGUCUUGACAUCCUGCGAUCUUUCUAGAGAUAGAUUGGUGCCUUCGGGAACGCAGUGACAGGUGCUGCACGGCUGUCGUCAGCUCGUGUUGUGAAAUGUUGGGUUAAGUCCCGCAACGAGCGCAACCCCUAUUGAUAGUUACCAUCAUUAAGUUGGGUACUCUAUUAAGACUGCCGCUGAC